Molecule: ribosomal RNA, 594 nt
Filed under: Paenibacillus sp. EKM207P
Lineage: Bacteria; Bacillati; Bacillota; Bacilli; Caryophanales; Paenibacillaceae
Description: partial 23S ribosomal RNA
Rfam family: Bacterial large subunit ribosomal RNA
Source: RNAcentral
AGGUUAAGCUACAAAGAGCACACGGAGGAUGCCUAGGCGCCAGGAGCCGACGAAGGACGUGGCGAACAACGAUAAGGCCUCGGGGAGCUGUAAGCAAGCUUUGAUCCGGGGAUGUCCGAAUGGGGAAACCCGGCUGUCUUCAUCGACAGUCACUACUCACUGAAUUCAUAGGUGAGUGAGAGGCAGACCAGGGGAACUGAAACAUCUAAGUACCCUGAGGAAGAGAAAACAAUAGUGAUUCCGUCAGUAGCGGCGAGCGAACGCGGAUUAGCCCAAACCAAGGAGCUUGCUCCUUGGGGUUGUGGGACGUCUCACAUGGAGUUACAAAGGAACCGGUUAGAUGAAGAGGUCUGGAAAGGCCCGCCAGAGAAGGUAAAAGCCCUGUAGUUCAAAACUUGUUCCCUCCGAGACGGAUCCCGAGUAGUGCGGGGCACGUGAAACCCCGUAUGAAUCCGGCAGGACCAUCUGCCAAGGCUAAAUACUCCCUGGCGACCGAUAGUGAAGCAGUACCGUGAGGGAAAGGUGAAAAGCACCCCGGAAGGGGAGUGAAAUAGAUCCUGAAACCGUGUGCUUACAAGAAGUCAGAGCCCGAUC